ACCACAAGGCGCACUCGUUAUUAGAGGCCAGAGAGGGAGAGAUGCUUGGUGGGAAUUGUAGUGCGAAGCCAAGAGGCUCCCUCCCUCCCCGGCCCAAAGUCCUUAGACCGAAGGCGGCGUUGCGCCACCGGGGGACGCCCUGGGCUCAUUUCUCUGACAGUCCUGCUACUAGCUUCAGUUUCCUUGUCAACAAAAUGGGGAUAAUCACAUCUACCUUGGAAUUGUUAUGAGGAUCACAUGAAGAAACACAAGUGAAAUGCUCUGUAGAUAUAAAGCAUGUAUCAACGAUG
This 290-nucleotide non-coding RNA is filed under the name Pongo abelii (Sumatran orangutan). The record is from RNAcentral. Lineage: Eukaryota; Metazoa; Chordata; Mammalia; Primates; Hominidae.